Tetranychus urticae (two-spotted spider mite) is the source of this 2408-nucleotide non-coding RNA. NCBI's taxonomy places the organism in Eukaryota, Metazoa, Arthropoda, Arachnida, Trombidiformes, Tetranychidae. The record is from RefSeq and is a predicted model, not a curated record.
UUCUCGCCUGUCUAAAAGCUUUCAAUCAGCUGGAUAUUUCUGAAACAAUUGUUUAUUAAUUUUAAUUUCAUUUUUAAUUCUAGUUUCAAUCUUAAUCUAGUUAAUUCUUCAUCGGUAGGCUGUUAAUCUUCAUGUUUCUGGGUUCAAUCUUUUGGGAUUAAAAGGUAUUCUUUUGGAUUGUUGUUGAGUUUAUAUAUUUAAUAUUCUGUUUUAAGUGACAUCUUGGAAAUUUGCUGAUAUAAAUUGUAAUUAUAACGAGGUUCAACUUGGUCGUUUUGAGUCAGUAAAACAAUGGCAACUUUACCAUGCUUUUUACCGUCAGAAGACAACAGAAUCUAUCCCGAGAAAACUUGAAACAGCACCUUAGAAAAGCCUUUAGGCCAUUGGUAAUCAAUCAAUUGGUUUACCUGUUUUAAACACGAAAACCACAAACCUUUAGACUCUUUACACUUUCACUUUUGACCCGGUAACUUAUGGAGAUUUUGGAAGGCUGGCAAAAAAACAAAAAAAGUAAAGAUGAAUUAAUAUGGUAAUUAGCAAGACACACAAAGAAGCAAGGAUGGAAAUUUCAAACAGGAACAAGAAAAAGGAAUUUACCUUCUCCUCUUAAACAGUAGCUUAACUCGAUAAUCAUCGAAGGAAUGAGAGUAAUGAUGAUGGUUAUGAUGGUUUUGAUACUCUUUACCCUUUACACCUUUACAUUCAUUCACCUAUUCACUCAGCUUAUUAACCGUUCCCUUAACGUUCCAGCAACGUGCCAAAUCUCUACGGAUUUUGAAAAAGCAUUUUUUUGUUUCUCCUUUGAGCUUCACUUGCUCUAAAGCUUAAACUUGCUCCUUCAAACAUGCAACUCAUCCUCCUCCUUUUCCUCUUCAUCAUCAUCAUCUUAACAUUAUCAUUAUUGUUAUUAUUAUUUUUAUAAUAUAUAUUAUGUAUUAUAAAAAGUGUUUCAUUGAUAAGUGAGAUGAUCACAAUUGUAACUGUAACAAUACAAAUUGUUAAGUACUUCUACUUGUCACUAUAAAAAUAAUUUAUCCCAAAGUGUACUUUUCAUCUUGUUCAUCUUUUACCUUCAUCAUGACGAAAGAUAAACAAAUCCCAUGAUACCUUGAUGAAACUCUCCAGUCUUUCAUUCAUCAAUCUUCAAUGAUAGUUGCCCAUUUUAUUUUAUUUCAUAUGUAUAUGCAUAUAACCAUCCUCAUCACCUUCAUCAUCAUCACCAACAUCAACAUCACAUUUACUCUUUAAUGAUGAUUGUUAAUGAUGAUUACUUUCUACUUAUGCAGUUAAAUUACAUGAAAAGUAUCAAAUUAGCUAAUCAGAAGGAUCAUUUGUGGGUAAAAAGCAAGGUGAUCAAAUGGACGAUAAUAAUUAAUACAAACAUCAAUAGAGUCAUUAAUACAUUGGUAACAAAUUAAUCUAAUAGGAUGGCAAUAAGGUUAAUUGUAAUACUGUGCCUUAUAAAGGAUGGAUUGGAUUAUGUUGAAAAUACAGGGAUGAAAAUCAAGUUUCAAGUUUACUCUGGACUGUUGAUCAGAUCAUUUCAAUGAUUCUCAGCAUUUCUCAUCUUUUCCCUGCUUUUUCCACUUUCAUCUUCUUCUUGGUUCCUCCACUUUGGUUUCCUGUUUUUUGCACAUCCAACAUCUCUGUCUAUCUCUGUUUCCAUUGUGAAUUAAAGUGGACCACGUUUAUUUCCAUCGGCAAAAUACUACGUUUAGACACUCAUGGGAAUUUGUUUCAUCUUAUAUUCGAGAGACAGGGAAAGAGAAACAUUCUGUAUUUCACCAUUGGAAUUUAUCUUCGCCAUCUUCAUCAUCAAUCCCAGAGCUAUUAUCAACAAACAAUUUGGUCUUAUUCCAGAGAGAAUCUUUGGUAAAGAAGAAAACUCCAUCAAAAUUGCUUCAAUAUCUCCAUACUUUCUCCUGUUCUGUGUAUGGAAAUUCCAUUAUAUAACUUUUUAUCUACUGUUGGAUAUUUAUUAUCAUCACACAUUAACAAAAAAAUAAAUCCACUUUUCCCUGGUUCAACCAAUUAACAGAUCAUCUUGCCUUUUCAUUGGAUUAACACGGUUAAAACCAUAUUAGGCUCACCAGCAUAGCCAAUUUUGAAACAUUUUUUACAUGAAAUGCAAAUCUAAUUACAGUCUUUUAUCCAAUCAUUAAGUGAGUAUUGAAAUCGCUAAAAGUUGAACCAAUCAAUCCGUUUUCUCAUCUUUACUUGGAAAUGGUCAUUUCUAUUAUAAAUACUUUUCCAUUCUUCAAGUAACCAUGUUGACCAUUCUUAUCUUGAUUAACCCCAAAAUCUGGAAUAAUGAUGAAAAGUAAAGUUAAUACUCAGUAAAAUAACUUGGAUUUUACUUGCCUGAUUCUUUUAUUAUCACCACAUAAUUAAACCAGGAUCAAACUCUA